CUAUUAUUCGUUUAAAAAAUAUCAACAAACAUAAUAACUGUACGACGACAACGAUUUUUAGAUUCCAGUGAAAAGGAUUAUACUCGCUGGCAUAUUUUUUUACGAUACGUAGAGAGACCAAGAAUUCUACUUUCAAAACAAUAUUUUCUGCCGAUCAACAAAGCUGAAAGUAAAUCUGGAGGAGACUGGUUUCUACCGCGUUCAAUAUUCAGAUGAAUUAUUUUCAGCUUUAAAGAUUGCAGUGAAAUCGUAACAGUUGUCCUUUUUGGAUAGAGAAAUCUUAUUAAAGACUCUUGCACUGUCGCAGAGGAACACGAAGACUGGCUGGCGUAUUUAAAUAGCCUUCUUCAGUACAUAUUGCCUAAACUAAAAAAAUAUUCAACGCAAAUAAAUUAUACUAACGUUGAACUUCAAAGCCAAUUCUAUAAACUUCUUGGGCUUCAAGGCGAUGCUAAAAACUAUCCUAAUAGCUAAAGAAGGGUUUAAAACUUACCUAAAUAACAGCUUCUCGCAGCACAUAUUUCUCCAAUCGGCUUCGCUCGCUGUUGUGGCGCUUUACGCGAACUUGCCAAUAUACUGGCGUUGGUUGCUUAAUCGAAUGCGAAAGACGCAGCGAUUAUUAAAGAAGCGCUAAAGGCUUAUCGAAAAUUUAAAGCUGACGAGUUAGAUUGGAUGUUUGUUGUAGGCGAGCACUAGCCACUAAUCCUAUUGGUAAAGAGCAAGUAUGGCAUUUGCUCAGGGACGAAUGGGAUGAAAGGAUUAAUAUUUUUAAUAACAGCGCUGAAAUUACUCCCUUGCAGUUGUUGUUUCCUCGCUAACCAAGAAAAAAAGCAUCGGCGAACUUGUAAAAUAUGCUUAUGCAGUUAAUUAUUCCGAAAGAAGAAAGUUACUUUUUUUCUAUCAUUCACAGCGC
This is a long non-coding RNA of Zophobas morio, 913 nucleotides long. RefSeq lists it as uncharacterized. The transcript is spliced from 9 exons. NCBI's taxonomy places the organism in Eukaryota, Metazoa, Arthropoda, Insecta, Coleoptera, Tenebrionidae. The record is from RefSeq and is a predicted model, not a curated record.